This 274-nucleotide ribosomal RNA is filed under the name uncultured bacterium. RNAcentral's name for it is "partial 16S ribosomal RNA". It matches the Rfam family "Bacterial small subunit ribosomal RNA", at positions 523 to 796 of the family's 1533-position model. The record is from RNAcentral.
CUACGGAGGGUGCAAGCGUUACUCGGAAUCACUGGGCGUAAAGCGCGCGCAGGCGGGCUGAUAAGUUGUAUGAGAAAGCCUACGGCUCAACCGUAGAACUGCAUCCAAAACUGUCAGUCUAGAGUCUGGGAGGGGAAGAUGGAAUUAGUUGUGUAGGGGUAAAAUCCGUAGAGAUAACUAGGAAUACCAAAAGCGAAGGCGAUCUUCUGGAACAGUACUGACGCUGAGGCGCGAAAGCGUGGGGAGCAAACAGGAUUAGAAACCCUAGUAGUCC